CCUACGGGGGGCAGCAGUGGGGAAUAUUGGACAAUGGGGGCAACCCUGAUCCAGCCAUGCCGCGUGUGUGAAGAAGGCCCUCGGGUUGUAAAGCACUUUCAGUGAGGAAGAACGCCUGGUGGUUAAUACCCAUCAGGAAAGACAUCACUCACAGAAGAAGCACCGGCUAACUCCGUGCCAGCAGCCGCGGUAAUACGGAGGGUGCGAGCGUUAAUCGGAAUUACUGGGCGUAAAGCGCGCGUAGGUGGCUUGAUAAGCCGGUUGUGAAAGCCCCGGGCUCAACCUGGGAACGGCAUCCGGAACUGUCAAGCUAGAGUGCAGGAGAGGAAGGUAGAAUUCCCGGUGUAGCGGUGAAAUGCGUAGAGAUCGGGAGGAAUACCAGUGGCGAAGGCGGACUUCUGGACUGACACUGACACUGAGGUGCGAAAGCGUGGGUAGCAAACAGGAUUAGAUACCCCUGUAGUC
This 465-nucleotide ribosomal RNA is filed under the name Vreelandella stevensii. RNAcentral's name for it is "partial 16S ribosomal RNA". It matches the Rfam family "Bacterial small subunit ribosomal RNA", at positions 338 to 795 of the family's 1533-position model. The record is from RNAcentral. Lineage: Bacteria; Pseudomonadati; Pseudomonadota; Gammaproteobacteria; Oceanospirillales; Halomonadaceae.